CAGUCGCGCGGUAAUACCGAGGGUGCAAGCGUUAAUCGGAAUUACUGGGCGUAAAGCGCGCGUAGGUGGUUUGUUAAGUUGGAUGUGAAAUCCCCGGGCUCAACCUGGGAACUGCAUCCAAAACUGGCAGGCUAGAGUAGGGCAGAGGGUGGUGGAAUUUCCUGUGUAGCGGUGAAAUGCGUAGAUAUAGGAAGGAACACCAGUGGCGAAGGCGACCACCUGGGCUCAUACUGACACUGAGGUGCGAAAGCGUGGGGAGCAAACAGGAUUAGAUACCCGUGUAGUCCCUGUCUCUUAUACA
RNAcentral lists this ribosomal RNA (301 nucleotides) under uncultured bacterium. RNAcentral's name for it is "partial 16S ribosomal RNA". It matches the Rfam family "Bacterial small subunit ribosomal RNA", at positions 509 to 808 of the family's 1533-position model. The record is from RNAcentral.